UCUGAGGAAGCUUAGAAUUGUAUCAGUCCUAUUCAUUGUCAGCUGAGUUCCAGAAAGGGGACAUUAAAAUGGAAUGGAAUUUCUGUUCAGUUGAAACUUAUGGGUAAACCACCUGUUACCAAGCUUCAAGGAACCCUCCCGAAUCUUGGCUGAGGGAACACUGAUGGUGAGUGAUCAGUGUCCCACAUACUCUCUUUUUGUUUUCUCUCACAAGCCUGGCUUAAGUUAUUUAUGCACAUGACUUAACAUUAAGAUGGUUUAUUCAUGAGAUUGCCUUAGGAGACAGGAGACAGACAACCUGCUUUUGUGAGGGUCUCUCUGGAGAUUGGCAGUUACACAAUGUAUUGUUACUCCGUCAGGCUCUAUGAGGACAAAACAUCACAAUGUAGAGGCCUCUGUUGAAAAUAAUGAUCUGUGCUGUGUAGGUCCCAAUUUGAGAAGCAUUUAUAUUGAUAAAGUUACUUGAAGAAAAAAAGUCCAGAUUCUUCAGCACCAGACAGGGCAGGUCUGUGUUAAGGAGGAGAGAUCAGUGUCUUUGUCUGUUGGAUCUUCAACAAGCCUGCAGGUAAUUUACCAUCCAGAAGGUAAUUUACCAUUGUUGGCUGUGGUUCUUCUCUGGAAGACAUCAGGAGCAACCAAAUGAAUCAUUCUGCCAUCUCUCAAUACCAUUCACUGUGGACAGGUGCUUGACCAGAGGCGGAGCAGUCUUGGAUCCUGUUCUGGGAGGUGUGGUUACUAAAGAACAUGAUUACCAAAUGGACCUUGUGAGAGAACUCCAUGGCAGAAAAUCUUGCUGACUACAUCAUAAGAAAAUUACUUUUUUCAGACUCAAAAUAAUCCUGUGACACGAGUUUUACUGCAUCCAUUUUACAGAUGUGGGAACUGAGGCUUGUGUGGUUACCUUGGCACAGUGCAUAGCUAACACAUAGCAGAGCCUGCCAGACAUGUGAACCCAAGUGAAUCAUCCCGGGGCCAGAAUCUCUAGACGCCUAGAUCAUCUCACAUGUGAGUGAAAGCCCAUCAGACUCCCAGAGACGUAAUACUGAGACAUCGGGAGGCCGUCUAUGGCAACUCCUGCAUUCCAGACUUCUCCUAAUGAAGGCUACAUGGGCGUCAUUGUGGAUUCUGCCGCCUCGGGUUUCUCUCAGUCCCCACUUAGCUGUGGGAGAGGAGGCAGGAGAGACAGGGUCUCCUGUGUGUGCCCAUCACCAGCACCAAGCCCUGCUUUUAAGGACUGUGGGUGAGAGCAGGCCUUCUUUGGGCAUAACGCCCCCAACAUCGCGAAGAUUAGGAGUAAUGCAGCAUAGGUCCUGAACAGGCAGCUGUCUGUAUGGCUCCCUCUGAGGGGGCUACAAAUUCCUCUCAAAAGGGAAAAGACACAAGUCUCCCACUUGGGUUAAAAUAUGUGAAUUUGUCUUCAGAA
Molecule: long non-coding RNA, 1423 nt
Organism: Neofelis nebulosa (Clouded leopard)
Lineage: Eukaryota; Metazoa; Chordata; Mammalia; Carnivora; Felidae
Exons: 2
Source: RefSeq, a predicted model, not a curated record